Non-coding RNA from Struthio camelus australis, 198 nucleotides. NCBI's taxonomy places the organism in Eukaryota, Metazoa, Chordata, Aves, Struthioniformes, Struthionidae. The record is from RefSeq and is a predicted model, not a curated record.
CCGGGUUCAAGGGCGCGACCGGGGCGCAGCAAAGCCGCCGCGGGGGCUCCCCUUCUUCUUUUUAUUUCAAAGCCUAGAGCAGAACAAAUCGAAAUUUUGUACUGGUGAAGAUAAUCUGCAGUCCACCAGACGGUUAACAAUGCAGGCGUCUUUUAUUUAAACCCAGGUCUUAUCUGUGAAAGUAGUCCUGCCUGAAAA